CUGGUUGAUCUUGCCAUAUUCUUGUCCCAAAGAUUAAGCCAUUCAAGUAUGAGUACACACAGUCGGUACAGUGAAACUGUGAAUGGCUCAUGAUAUCAGUUAUGGUUCCAUUGAUUGCUCCAAUGUUACUUUAUAACUGUUGCAAUUCUAUUGCUAAGAUAUGCCAACAAGUGCUGACCUUCAGUGACACGUACAUUUAUCAGACCCAAAACCCAUACAGCGUGCUUUCGGGUGCUCCGGACCCUUUUGGUGACCGUUCGUGGCACCGGUAUCUCAUUUGAAUGUCUGCCUAUCAACUUUCGAUGGUAGUUUCAGUGCCUAUCAUGGUGACCAUGAAUAACGAGGAAUCAGGGUUCGAUUCCGGAGAAGGAGCCUGAGAAACGGCUACCACAUCCAAGGAAGGCAGCAAGCACUCAAAUGAUCCACUGCAGAUUUGGGGAGGUAGUGACGAAAAAUAUCAAUAUAGGUCUCUUUUGAGGACCUGUUAUUGGAAUGAGUACCGUCCAAAUCCUUUAAUGAGGUGCCAUUACUGAUGUUAGAACUGAUGUUUAGAAGGAU
Molecule: non-coding RNA, 558 nt
Filed under: Salmo salar (Atlantic salmon)
Lineage: Eukaryota; Metazoa; Chordata; Actinopteri; Salmoniformes; Salmonidae
Description: Eukaryotic small subunit ribosomal RNA
Rfam family: Eukaryotic small subunit ribosomal RNA
Source: Rfam by way of RNAcentral